GCAAAGAUGCUGGCUGCAGCAGUGGAGGCACAGCCAGGGCUGCACGCUUAGCAGAGCCAACGGGAGCCCUGCCCCCUUUCAAGUUGGUGGGGCAGGAGCUCUGCAUUCCUGGGUGCAACUGUAGCCACCCAGCUGUGGCUGCAGACUCAGGCAUCCCUGUGCUCUCAGGGGCCUGGGAAGACCCCUGGUGCUUCUGCAGGCUUGGAAGUACCUGUUCCCACUGCCUGGCCUCUCCCCGCUCCUGGCACCUGCUCCAGUUUCGGAGCAAAGUUGUGGCCAAGCCUGGGUGCGGUCAUGACCUGGCUGGGUGUUCAGGUGCUUGGGGUGGCACUGACAUGCCAGCCUCCUGCUACCUCGGCCCCUUCUGGACUUUGGGUGUUGACGAUCAUGGAAGGGAGGCUGAAGUGGGGCUAAGGGCAGCCUGGCAUGAGCCUGCAGGUGCCCCUCAGCAUGAACGGCCUGGGUGCUCUGAAUGGUGGCCAGAAGCAGAAAGGCUCCUGGGUGGAAAGGGGCAGGUCCCCAGUGAAACCCCACCUUCAAGCCAGGGAUGACCUGAAGUCUGGGGGCCAGGCUGCCAGUUCCGUGGACUGGAAUGAGAACUUAACGGU
This 608-nucleotide long non-coding RNA is filed under the name Homo sapiens (human). Its description in RNAcentral is "non-protein coding lnc-CHST2-6:1". Lineage: Eukaryota; Metazoa; Chordata; Mammalia; Primates; Hominidae. The record is from RNAcentral.